RNAcentral lists this ribosomal RNA (432 nucleotides) under uncultured bacterium. RNAcentral's name for it is "partial 16S ribosomal RNA". It matches the Rfam family "Bacterial small subunit ribosomal RNA", at positions 29 to 507 of the family's 1533-position model. The record is from RNAcentral.
ACGAACGCUUGCGGCAUGCCUAACACCUGCCAGUCGCACGAGACCUUCGGGUCUAGUGGCGCACGGGUGCGUAACGCGUGGGAACCUGCCCUUAGGUUCGGAAUAACUCCCCGAAAGGGGUGCUAAUACCGGAUAAUGUCUUCGGACCAAAGAUUUAUCGCCUUUGGAUGGGCCCGCGUUGGAUUAGCUAGUUGGUAGGGUAAAAGCCUACCAAGGCGACGAUCCAUAGCUGGUCUGAGAGGAUGAUCAGCCACACUGGGACUGAGACACGGCCCAGACUCCUACGGGAGGCAGCAGUGGGGAAUAUUGGACAAUGGGCGAAAGCCUAAUCCAGCAAUGCCGCGUGAGUGAUGAAGGCCUUAGGGUUGUAAAGCUCUUUUACCCGGGAUGAUAAUGACAGUACCGGGAGAAUAAGCUCCGGCUAACUCCGUG